This is a non-coding RNA of Pelobates cultripes (western spadefoot toad), 387 nucleotides long. The record is from the annotation of a GenBank genome assembly. Lineage: Eukaryota; Metazoa; Chordata; Amphibia; Anura; Pelobatidae.
GCAAGUAGGUUUAGGGAGUGUGAGAUAAAUAGGUCAUGGAUGGAAGUAGAUUUAAAGGUGCUGCACACAGAGCGUGCAUUCCAGAGGGCAGCUUUAAAUGGGGAAUUACAUGGAAUGGGUAUUAGGUUGUUGUGGUUUCUGGUGUUUGUACCAGGUGGCUGAGUAGUGGAGGGACCAGGGUUUGGAGAGAUAUCACCAGCUGCCAGGAGUAGUAGGAUGGAAAGGAAGAGAAGGUGGGAGUAAGAUUUAUAAUUUGCCACAACUGGCUGUAUUUGUGGAAUAUGCAUUAAAUAAUGGAUUGCAUGAAUCUGCAUGUUGCAUUUAUAGAGUGUGUGUAUAUAUUUAACCCUUAGUGACUAGACAGUUUUUCCAUUUUCUUACCGUUAG